ACACGCACGGGUCAACCUCAACCCUUUCCUUCUCCCGUGCUGCCUCUCUCCUCCCUCACGGCUUUCUCUCACUCUUUCACUCUCGACUUGUACGGACACACUCACCACCAAGCCUACAAGCACGGAUCGAAGGUUGUGAAGGUACCAUCGUGCUCGUGAGGACUAUACGAACUCAACCACACCCAUUUCAGGUAAGAAAUCUUUCGAUUUCACGUCGAAAUCCCAAGCACCGAUUUUGGCACUGUUCAUGAACUUUUUGUUGGUUGAUUUUUAGGACAAUCCAAGCUCAUAGUGAGCUUAGUGAGGUCCCAAGGAAGCUUGGAGUGCUUCGUUGGAAGGAUUUGGACGUCGGGAUCACGAGGGUUAAGUUUGGCCGGUUUUGCUUGGAUUUUUCCGGUGAGAUUUAGUUGUUUUUGAAGCUUAAAAGUAGUAUAUUGUGAUUCUACAUGUUGAGGGCUUUAAAUUGAUAUAUUAUACGAAGAAAAUGGUUGAGAAACGAAGGAGAACAAGGCAUUUGAAAAAUGCCCAGAAUCCGGCCACCGGAGAAAAACCAGUCCGGCGAACUCGCGAGGAAGAAGGUGCGCGUGGGCGCGCGUGGACCCGUGCCUUCCUUGGCGCGUGGGGGCGAGUUCCACAGUAACAAAAUUAUUUUAAAAAUUUGUCGACGUCCGUGACGUCGAGUAGGUCAAUGUGGUAUAUUCAUAUACCCAAAUUGAGCACCGUAUGAGAAAGUUAUUACGAUUAUUGGUUAGGUGCUUUAAAUAACGUUUUAUAGUUUUCGCAUUUAGGUGAAAAUGUGAAUUGACGAUCCGACCGUUGGAUCGUCACCAAACUUUGAUACGUUGUAAUACGUAAUAUUUGAGGAUUAUUAGAACUUACGGAUUGGGAAUCCGAGUUACGGAUCUUCCGGAAUUGGAGUUGUAAGUUCAUAAAAUAAAAUGUUAACCGUCACUUAGUUUUGGAAAUUGACGGAGAUCCGACCGUUGGAUGGUAAUGAAAUUUCAGGAUGUUGUCCUAGAGAUAUAUUGUGGACUCUGGAAGUUAUGGAUUUAAAAUCUGAGUUGCAGAUCUUUCGGAUCAAUCUACGUAGUGACGUAUUUUAUAAAAGUUAUAUUCUAUCGAUAUGAUUUCUGAGGUUGGAUUUGAUUAUUGUUCUAGGCGGCGAUCGUCAUGACGCCUUGAUGAGUUGUGCUAGGGAGUUGUAGGGCGAACUCCAAGUGAGUGGGCAGUUUUGUUUUCGUAUUACCUAUAUACUAUUGAGUUUUCCCAGAAAUUGAAUUUAAAUGAAAGCAUGAUUUAAAAUGCCAUGGAUAGAUUUAUAUGAAAAGUAUGAUUUGAAAUGCCAUGCAUAGAAGUAUAUGAAAAGCAUGAAUUGAUAUAUGAUGCAUAUAUAUAUGUGAAUUGGUGCUGUGGACGCACAGGUAAGUAUCAGGUGAGUUUUAUAUUAUUCAUGUGCAUUGUUGAUGUGUAUAUUGUGGAUAGCUCAUAACCUGCAAUCAUGGUGUUAGUGCUUAUAUUAUUCACCACACCGCACGCUCGUCUUGGAUCCAAGUAGGUGGAUGUCGUACAGACCAAGUGAGGGUUCCGACAUGCUAGUCGUAUAGAUUACUAGAUGUGAUUCCGACUAGUGGGUGACCUUAGAUUAUGUGCACAGAUGAUUGAUGAGAGAAGCACUAGAGCGUAUUAUUACACCAUCCAUGUCGUACAGACUACUUCAGGUAGUUCCGACUUAUCUGCAGUGUAGUGCCGUACAGGUC
RNAcentral lists this long non-coding RNA (1757 nucleotides) under Malus domestica (apple). RNAcentral describes it as "long non-coding RNA (MDOM_LNC006667)". Lineage: Eukaryota; Viridiplantae; Streptophyta; Magnoliopsida; Rosales; Rosaceae. The record is from RNAcentral.